CCUUCGCUCGGGGGAUUAUGCCGAUUGUGAGAUCUCACGACUCCGGCGGUGUAACUUUCUUCGAGUGAUAGGUGCACUUUCCCUUAAGCCGGACCACGACCAGCGAGUUGUCUUGUCUGAUAUUUGAGGAAGGUGGCGUUGGCUUCUGCAAACGUGUUAUAGCCUCGGAUUCGGAGCGAGCGACGCGUUGGAUUGAUCGAUGCCUGCCCUUUGGGCUCGUACGUUGUCUCUUAUUAGGGUGUUUCCGGCUUCACUGCCUCGGCAGGGGAGUUGGAGACGCUUUGGUUCGAGGUGGCCUCUGCGAUUGGCAUCUACAGUCAGUGGUUUCGAAGUAGGCAGUCCACCUGACCCGUCUUGAAACACGGACCAAGGAGUCUAACAUGUGCGCGAGUCAUUGGGCUCUACGAAACCUAAAGGCGCAGUGAAAGUGAAGAUCCAUUUUGGUGGAUUGAGGUAGGAUCCUGGGUUACGUGCUCAGGCGCACUACCGGCCCGUCCGAUAUGUAUUCAUACGGGCGGAGCAAGAGCGUACACGUUGGGACCCGAAAGAUGGUGAACUAUGCUUGCGCAGGUCGAAGCCAGAGGAAACUCUGGUGGAGGACCGUAGCGAUUCUGACGUGCAAAUCGAUCGUCAAACGUGAGUAUAGGGGCGAAAGACUAAUCGAACCAUCUAGUAGCUGGUUCCCUCCGAAGUUUCCCUCAGGAUAGCUGGCACUCGGGAAAUGAAACAGUUUUAUCCGGUAAAGCGAAUGAUUAGAGGUAUUGGGACGAAACUGCUCUCAACCUAUUCUCAAACUUUAAAUGGGUAAGAUGCCCGACUCGCUCAAUUGGAGCCGGGCUUUCUUCUGAAUGUGAGUGC
This 858-nucleotide ribosomal RNA is filed under the name Planocera cf. pellucida MK-2019C. RNAcentral's name for it is "Planocera sp. MK-2019C partial 28S rRNA". It matches the Rfam family "Eukaryotic large subunit ribosomal RNA", at positions 448 to 1122 of the family's 3401-position model. The record is from RNAcentral. Lineage: Eukaryota; Metazoa; Platyhelminthes; Polycladida; Planoceridae.